CACCUUGGUGGUGGUGGGGCACCUUGUUUCUCUGGGUGGGAUGAAAGUUCAAGCUCUCUCUCAGCCUUCUUUGACACCUCCCUAGCAAGGCUAGGGUGGGGGUUGGGGUGGCUUGUUGCAGCCUGAUGAGGGUGGAUGUUUAGGUUCCCCACUUGGCCUCUGUGGGUCCACUGGAGGGCUUUGAGGUGUGGCAAGAUCGGAUUGUAGUUUUAGAAAGUUCACCCUGAUUGCCUUAUGAAAAAUAUUAAUAGCUCAGGCAUGGGGUGGAUCAGAGGGUGGAGCAGGAGAGCAGUGAAAAGGCUAUGGUAAGAUCCAGGGUCAGAUAUGGUGGCUGGGAGGAGGACAGUGGAAGCCAGAGUGGUGGUAAGAAGUGAGACUCCAUAUCUACGGCAAAGGUUGAGUUGGCAGCAUUUACCAAGGGACUGGAUGUGGAUGUGUGAGGAAGAUAGGAGAGGAAGUGGACUGACUGAGCCAAUGUGGGGUGAGAGCAAUGGUUGAUUUGGAAGUUGCUU
This 512-nucleotide long non-coding RNA is filed under the name Homo sapiens (human). RNAcentral describes it as "non-protein coding lnc-BUB3-1:1". Lineage: Eukaryota; Metazoa; Chordata; Mammalia; Primates; Hominidae. The record is from RNAcentral.